UUGAUCCUGGCUCAGAAUGAACGCUGGCGGCGUGCUUAACACAUGCAAGUCGAACGAGAAAUCUUUAGCUUGCUAGAGAAAGUAAAGUGGCGCACGGGUGAGUAACGCGUGGGUAAUCUGCCCCCGAAUCGGGGAUAACAUUGCGAAAGCGAUGCUAAUACCGGAUAAAAUCUGGUUGGCUUCGGUGAACCGGACCAAAGGUGGUCUCUUUAUAAAAGCUACCGUUUGGAGAUGAGCUCGCGUACCAUUAGCUAGUUGGUGAGGUAAAGGCUCACCAAGGCGACGAUGGUUAGCUGGUCUGAGAGGAUGAUCAGCCACACCGGAACUGGAACACGGUCCGGACUCCUACGGGAGGCAGCAGUGAGGAAUUUUGCGCAAUGGGGGAAACCCUGACGCAGCAACGCCGCGUGAGUGAUGAAGGCUUUCGGGUCGUAAAGCUCUGUCAGGUGGGAAGAACCCACCAAGUGUUAAGACCACUUGGUGCUGACGGUACCACCGAAGGAAGCACCGGCUAACUCCGUGCCAGCAGCCGCGGUAAUACGGGGGGUGCGAGCGUUAUUCGGAAUCAUUGGGCGUAAAGGGCGCGCAGGCGGUUUUGUAAGUCAGAUGUGAAAUCCCGGGGCUUAACCCCGGAAGUGCAUAUGAAACUAUGAGACUUGAGUAUGGGAGAGGGAAGCGGAAUUCCUGGUGUAGCGGUGAAAUGCGUAGAUAUCAGGAGGAACACCGGUGGCGAAGGCGGCUUCCUGGACCAAUACUGACGCUGAGGCGCGAAGGCGUGGGGAGCGAACAGGAUUAGAUACCCUGGUAGUCCACGCAGUAAACGUUGAUCACUAGGUGUAGCGGGUAUUGA
RNAcentral lists this ribosomal RNA (850 nucleotides) under uncultured organism. RNAcentral's name for it is "bacterial SSU rRNA". It matches the Rfam family "Bacterial small subunit ribosomal RNA", at positions 13 to 835 of the family's 1533-position model. The record is from RNAcentral.